RNAcentral lists this transfer RNA (76 nucleotides) under Sulfurimonas gotlandica GD1. RNAcentral's name for it is "tRNA-Phe (GAA) (tRNA-Phe-GAA-2-1)". It matches the Rfam family "tRNA". Rfam says of the family: Transfer RNA (tRNA) molecules are approximately 80 nucleotides in length. Their secondary structure includes four short double-helical elements and three loops (D, anti-codon, and T loops). Further hydrogen bonds mediate the characteristic L-shaped molecular structure. tRNAs have two regions of fundamental functional importance: the anti-codon, which is responsible for specific mRNA codon recognition, and the 3' end, to which the tRNAs corresponding amino acid is attached (by aminoacyl-tRNA synthetases). tRNAs cope with the degeneracy of the genetic code in two manners: having more than one tRNA (with a specific anti-codon) for a particular amino acid; and 'wobble' base-pairing, i.e. permitting non-standard base-pairing at the 3rd anti-codon position. Lineage: Bacteria; Pseudomonadati; Campylobacterota; Epsilonproteobacteria; Campylobacterales; Sulfurimonadaceae. The record is from RNAcentral. RNAcentral also lists the same sequence under 25 other names.
GGCCAAUUAGCUCAGUCGGUAGAGCAAGUGACUGAAAAUCACUGUGUCCUUGGUUCGAUUCCGAGAUUGGCCACCA